RNAcentral lists this ribosomal RNA (406 nucleotides) under uncultured bacterium. RNAcentral describes it as "partial 16S ribosomal RNA". It matches the Rfam family "Bacterial small subunit ribosomal RNA", at positions 30 to 526 of the family's 1533-position model. The record is from RNAcentral.
AUUGAACGCUGGCGGCAGGCCUAACACAUGCAAGUCGAACGAGUGGCGGACGGGUGAGUAAUGUCUGGGAAACUGCCUGAUGGCGGGGGAUAACUACUGGAAACAGUAGCUAAUACCGCAUACCAUCAGAUGUGCCCAGAUUGGAUUAGCUAGUUGGUGGGGUAACGGCUCACCAAGGCGACGAUCCCUAGCUGGUCUGAGAGGAUGACCAGCCACACUGGAACUGAGACACGGUCCAGACUCCUACGGGAGGCAGCAGUGGGGAAUAUUGGACAAUGGGGGCAAGCCUGAUGCAGCCAUGCCGCGUGUAUGAAGAAGGCCUUCGGGUUGUAAAGUACUUUCAGCGGGGAGGCGUUACCUGCAGAAGAAGCACCGGCUAACUCCGUGCCAGCAGCCGCGGUAAUUC